GCAAGUCGAACGCUUCUUUCCUCCCGAGUGCUUGCACUCAAUUGGAAAGAGGAGUGGCGGACGGGUGAGUAACACGUGGGUAACCUACCCAUCAGAGGGGGAUAACACUUGGAAACAGGUGCUAAUACCGCAUAACAGUUUAUGCCGCAUGGCAUAAGAGUGAAAGGCGCUUUCGGGUGUCGCUGAUGGAUGGACCCGCGGUGCAUUAGCUAGUUGGUGAGGUAACGGCUCACCAAGGCCACGAUGCAUAGCCGACCUGAGAGGGUGAUCGGCCACACUGGGACUGAGACACGGCCCAGACUCCUACGGGAGGCAGCAGUAGGGAAUCUUCGGCAAUGGACGAAAGUCUGACCGAGCAACGCCGCGUGAGUGAAGAAGGUUUUCGGAUCGUAAAACUCUGUUGUUAGAGAAGAACAAGGACGUUAGUAACUGAACGUCCCCUGACGGUAUCUAACCAGAAAGCCACGGCUAACUACGUGCCAGCAGCCGCGGUAAUACGUAGGUGGCAAGCGUUGUCCGGAUUUAUUGGGCGUAAAGCGAGCGCAGGCGGUUUCUUAAGUCUGAUGUGAAAGCCCCCGGCUCAACCGGGGAGGGUCAUUGGAAACUGGGAGACUUGAGUGCAGAAGAGGAGAGUGGAAUUCCAUGUGUAGCGGUGAAAUGCGUAGAUAUAUGGAGGAACACCAGUGGCGAAGGCGGCUCU
This 700-nucleotide ribosomal RNA is filed under the name uncultured Bacilli bacterium. Its description in RNAcentral is "bacterial SSU rRNA". It matches the Rfam family "Bacterial small subunit ribosomal RNA", at positions 57 to 728 of the family's 1533-position model. Lineage: Bacteria; Bacillati; Bacillota; Bacilli. The record is from RNAcentral.